Molecule: long non-coding RNA, 895 nt
Organism: Prinia subflava (tawny-flanked prinia)
Lineage: Eukaryota; Metazoa; Chordata; Aves; Passeriformes; Cisticolidae
Exons: 4
Source: RefSeq, a predicted model, not a curated record
UUUAUAUAAACAAUUUCUGUGUAUUUGCUCAGUGCCUGGACGCACUUCCACCCUGCUGCUGAGAAUUUAGAUCUGAUGAGUAACCUGUGGCAGAGGAGCAACUUUGAUUGCAGAAAACCCCUCUGGAAGGUGAUGCAGGCAGGUGCUUUAUGGGCAGGGGAUCUCAGGGAAGGUGAGGCAUCUCCAGCACGCUCCAUCUGCAGGAGGAUGUGGUACCCAGAGCCUGGCAAUGCUUCAAAGGAAAUCCAUUCUGGGGUGUUUGAGUAGCUGUGUCAGAGACCAAAGGGGCAGCACCAAGGAAUUUAACUGAGAUUCCUCAUGCUGUAGAAAAGGCUGGUAUGAGGUAAGGCUUUAAGGAAGCAGAUUAACUCAAAGAAAUGUGCUCAGGUUUACUCAGCUCUUCCCAUCCGUCAGAACAUGCCCAAGUCCUCGGUGAGGUUUCGGCUCGGAACCGAGAUCUGGGACUGAGUCAUGAGCAAAUGCAACUGCCUGUACCCAUGAGGGAAUGUUACUGAUGGCUUCCUCCUUUGGAAAGUGACACCGUGAUGGGUCCCAGCAUCGUGCAGAGCUUUACUGGAGCUUCCCCGAGGUGCUUUGACCUCUCUUCCCAUCAGUCUGAACAGGCAAAACUAAUCAAGGUUGUCCAACAAAUUUUGGAACUGAGCACCAUUAAUUGUCAUUCUCAGAAUAAAUCAACAACAUAAUUUAUCAAUAUGGCAAUAACAGUAAUGUUUGUAUUUCCCAGUCUUGAAAUACUUGGAUUGGAAAUGACAGCAUUAUAAUUGAAAAUAAUGGUAAUUAUCUGUCUGCAAACGUGUUUUGUUGCUACGCUCAAUAUCUUCUUUGAAACCAGAAGUCACCAUAAGCAACAAUAAACUAAAAAUUCAUUUUCCUA